UAAUAAUAGACUGGUGGAUACCCUAGUGAUGGGCCUCACUGGGCUAAGCUAGGCUGGUCCAAGGAUGAAAGGCAUAAUUCAUUGCUAGCUUGUACUGUGACUCUUCCCAGCUCAGUAGAACUUGCCAGGGCUUCUCCUUCACUGGCAUAGCUUUGGAGAUGCUGGGGUCACCACCAUACCCCAACAAAGCACAAGAGUAGGACUUGUCCUACACAUUUCAAAUCCUCGAGACAAAGGAAGGAACUAACUGUGAUUGGGAAAACAGGUAAUUCGUGAUUGCCUUCUGACCCAAGUUUGCUGUGUUUGUCAUCAUAUGAAUACACCAACCAAAGGCAUUUCUCACUUUCAAAGUAAAAUGGUGCUACAAGGCUCUGCCUCAUUUUGGACUCUCUUCUCUACUGAUUUGAAAACUGAAGCACCUGAUGACAAUGAACUAAGGCUGUUGGAGCUGCAACUAAGAUGAAAAUUCAGUCAUUCGACAUCAAUAUGUUCCAUGGUAAAGCUCGUUGUUCAAGAUGAUGAAACUGAAGUCCAGAGAGGGAAACAACAUCACACAGGUAAAACGGUAAAUGACAAAGAUGAGGAAACAGAGGCAAAUGAAGUUAAGCGACUUGCUCAAGGUCACACAGUGCAGCCAAUUGUUCCCACUUGGAACUGAACGGAAACAAAGGCAUCUGGAAUUCAUCUUUCCCUCUUGCCAACUGUCAAAGUACUUUGUACCACUCAGGCACUCUGACACUCCUUUACAAUAAGGAAACUGAGGACUCCAAUGGUGGUGGUCACUUAGGUGAAUUAAAUGGCAAAGCUGGGAUUCAAACUCAGUCCUUAGACUCCAAAUAUUCUCUAUAUCCUGCUGUCUCUGGAAGGAAAAUUUUAUACCUUUGUGUUGAUGAAGAAUUAAGACAAUGAGAAUUACCAUAUAUUUGCCAAGAAUCUACCUUGGGCUGAAGUAGCUUAUUUUACAAUAAUAAAAAUAUAUUGUGUUGGUAAAUAAAUUUGCA
This 1001-nucleotide long non-coding RNA is filed under the name Monodelphis domestica (gray short-tailed opossum). Its description in RNAcentral is "lncRNA (ENSMODG00000036322.2)". Lineage: Eukaryota; Metazoa; Chordata; Mammalia; Didelphimorphia; Didelphidae. The record is from RNAcentral.